RNAcentral lists this ribosomal RNA (531 nucleotides) under Triticum aestivum (bread wheat). RNAcentral's name for it is "partial small subunit ribosomal RNA". Lineage: Eukaryota; Viridiplantae; Streptophyta; Magnoliopsida; Poales; Poaceae. The record is from RNAcentral.
AUGGCCGCCAUGAAGAUCACCCUCCUUGCCGUGGCCGCAAUCUCGGCAGUCUUACUAGGCACCGCGUCGGCGGCGACCUACGGUGUCGGCGAGCCGGGCGGUUCGUGGACCCUCAACACCGACUACAGUAACUGGGUGUCCAACAAGAAGUUCCACCCGGGUGACGAGAUCGUCUUCAAGUACUCAACCCCGGCGCACAACGUGGUCGAGGUGAGCAAGGCCGGCUACGACUCCUGCAGCACCGACAGCGCCAUCAACACCUUAACCUCCGGCAACGACGUCGUCGCCAUCAACGCCACCGGCACCCGAUACUUCAUCUGCGGCAUCCCUGGCCACUGCAGCCCCACUGCCGCAGCCAGCAUGAAGGUCGUGAUCGACGUCGUCCCGAGUUCCUCCUCACCGUCGUCACCCAUGCCGGCUGCCGGUCCCGGCGCGAGCAACCUGCCGCCACCCUCCUCUACCGCAACCUCUGCCGGGGCCACAGCAGGAUUUGGCCUUGUCGUCCUACUGGCCGCCAGCCUCAUGGCUUAG